UACGGGGGGGGCAAGCGUUGUUCGGAAUUACUGGGCGUAAAGGGCGUGUAGGUGGCCAACUAAGUCCGACGUGAAAUCCCCAGGCUUAACCUGGGAACUGCGUCUGAUACUGGAAGGCUCGAGUUUGGGAGAGGGAUGCAGAAUUCCAGGUGUAGCGGUGAAAUGCGUAGAUAUCUGGAGGAAUACCGGUGGCGAAGGCGGCAUCCUGGACCAACACUGACGCUGAGGCGCGAAAGCUAGGGGAGCAAACGGG
RNAcentral lists this ribosomal RNA (253 nucleotides) under uncultured bacterium. Its description in RNAcentral is "partial 16S ribosomal RNA". It matches the Rfam family "Bacterial small subunit ribosomal RNA", at positions 524 to 776 of the family's 1533-position model. The record is from RNAcentral.